This 364-nucleotide long non-coding RNA is filed under the name Scophthalmus maximus (turbot). RNAcentral's name for it is "lncRNA (ENSSMAG00000035876.1)". Lineage: Eukaryota; Metazoa; Chordata; Actinopteri; Pleuronectiformes; Scophthalmidae. The record is from RNAcentral.
GGAAUAUUUGAGUCUUGAGUGAACUUCUGUGUGUGUGUGUGUGUGUUAGCAUGUUGGUUUCCAUGAGUAACAAGGAGGGGUGGACUCCCCCCCUCCCCGAGGGAGCUGCUGUCAUGGGCGCGUCCAGCUCUCUUGGACAGACGGACCCUCCUCAUCAGGAUCUGGCCGAAGCACAAGUCACUGAGGGGUUGACUUUCUCCUGGAAAUCGAGCAAGACGAGCUGUAACAAUGACUUCAUGAGAACAACGGUCCAAUUGUGUGUCGUCGCCCCCCCGGCUCCCGGGAUCAGGUUAGUGUUAAUUCAACAUAUUACCCACUCAUCUGCACUUUCCUUGCUGCAUGUUUACCACAUAAAAGAUCAGAU